CUGGCUCUGCGCAACAAUGAGAAUAUCGAGUUCAUGUGUUCCAGCUUCUGUGAGCUCUGGUGAGGCUCGCACGAAGCGGAGGGAGGAAAAGGAGAGGAAUCAAAGGACGGGUUGGGUGAGGGCCGCUGAGGGGCGUGCUUAGAGAGGCCUGGCCUGCACUGUUCACAUCCGCCUAGGCUGCAUGAUAGCCCGCUGGUGCCAUAGGUCCCCGGAUACCCAGGAGGGAAAAGAAUUUCUGCUGUUGGAGUGACCCUGACUUGGCCCCCGUGUGCUUGCUUCAUCAGGGAUCUUGCGAUUCAGGCAUAUUCUGGAACCAACUAGCCUGGGGUCAGUUAUACUAAAGAUCUCUGCAGACCAAAGCAUUCUGAUUCCUGCUUCAUUCCCACUGUCCUUGACAGUUUAUGUGCCACCUUGUCUCUGGAAAUUAAGUGCUACCUACUUGAUUUCUGCUGCUCUGGGUUCUCUUCAUGCCCUGUGAAAUCAGCCGCAUAUCAAGUGCUCAACAGCAUAUGUCGCUAGUGACUACUGUAAUGGACAGUGCAGGUCUACACCAGCUUCUGGUCAUGUUUGGGAAUGAAAAUAACUUCAGGAGAUCAAGCUUUUGAGACAAACUUACCUGCAUUCAAGUUCUGGUUCUCCACUUCCUAACUGGGUGAUGUUGGACCAAUUAUUAGUAUUAUCAUAAUCUAGCUUUUUUCAGCUAUUAAAUAGGGGUAAUGAUAUCCAUUAUAAAGGGUUCUUAUAAUAAUUAAAUGAGCUUAUAUAUGUAAA
This is a non-coding RNA of Equus caballus (horse), 771 nucleotides long. The record is from RefSeq and is a predicted model, not a curated record. NCBI's taxonomy places the organism in Eukaryota, Metazoa, Chordata, Mammalia, Perissodactyla, Equidae.